GGAGACGGAAGGGCGUUGGAGGGCAGUGGUUUCGAGAACAGAUAGGGAAGCAGUCGGGUGGCACCGCCGGUGAUGAGCCGGUAGGCCGGAUCAACGAGCUUUGAAAGCCAGCGCCUCUGCGAUUGGUCAUGCACGGGGCGAGCGUAAGGGGUCGGCGGCGGCUUUCUUGAGGUUGGCUUCCUAACUUUUCCUCCGACUCCUCCUCCGGCGUAUGGUGUGGACGACGUUCCUUCCUCAGCCCUCUCCAUGUUCC
RNAcentral lists this unclassified non-coding RNA (253 nucleotides) under Hevea brasiliensis (rubber tree). Lineage: Eukaryota; Viridiplantae; Streptophyta; Magnoliopsida; Malpighiales; Euphorbiaceae. The record is from RNAcentral.